Molecule: long non-coding RNA, 1259 nt
Organism: Pongo pygmaeus (Bornean orangutan)
Lineage: Eukaryota; Metazoa; Chordata; Mammalia; Primates; Hominidae
Exons: 8
Source: RefSeq, a predicted model, not a curated record
AUUGAGAAUGGGACAGGAGGCAAGGAAACUAGUCACAACGCAGGAAGUUUAUACGAAAAUCAGAGCAAGGGCAGUGGAGAGAGAAAGGAAGGAAAACAAAAGGACAUUUCAAAGGCAGGGUCAUCAGAAUUUAAAAUUACUUUGAGGAGGAGGUAUGAUGGAAAACAACAAAUUAAAAAUGACUAUCAAGUUCUGUCUUGGACAAUCGAAUGACAAGCAGUGAGCUAAAAUAAAGGGAAAUAUCAGCUAUUGAAAUUUCCAAUUGGUGCAGAAGCAUGUUUCAAGAACAAUAAUGACUUUGAAAGGCAAAAAAUUAACAAUAUUUUUAAAAAGAGUUACAUAAUGACAUCUGGAAGGAAAUACCCUAAAACAGGAGUUAACCUGUGAAAGUGAGGCAUCAGUAGCAAGGGGAAUGACAGUGAGGACAACGUGAUGUAAUCCAACCCCGAGGGUACACUUACUCUUGAAUGAACUGAAUAAAUUAAAAUUUUAAGCUGAAAAAAAUAGGAUUUGGUGAUUGGAUAUAAAGGAUGAGCGGGAGAGAGGAGUCAAAGCUGGUAAGACAAGAACAAGAAGGAGGAAAAGUUUUUGAGGAAACAGGGUCUCACUCUGCUGCCCAGGCUGGAAUGCAGUGGCGUGAACAAUGUUCGCUGCAGCCUCGACCUCCUGAGCUCAAGCAAUCCUCCCAUCUCAGCCUCCUGAGUAGCUGGGACUACAGUUGCCAAUCCUGAACAUCAAAAACUAUAUGAGGGCAGAGGAAGAUGGUAGAAUAGAAGCCUGUGCCGUUCGUCCCCCUCACUGGAAUACCGAAUUUUAACAACUGUCUUCACACAGAAAAGCACCAUCACAAGAACCGAAAAUCAGGUGUUGGACAAUGAUUUGAGGUCUUAGCCUGAACUUUUGAAUGAGAGGUGCCCCAUCAACUGGACUUCUCCUGAGUGUUGAAAAGGGCAUCUUUGUAACUAUAAUGACUCCUGAGAAGAUUUUGUUUUCAGUCUUAAAACAGGAAUGGGGGAAAAAUGUAGGCCUGGCUUGAAGAUCUUUAAGACUUCCUUAAUGAGAAACUACCUUUAAGUUACAGAAGACCCAUCAGGAUGCCAAAUUCCAUCUGGACACAGUUACAAAUACACCACUGUUGAUGAGCUGAAAAUUACAGCAACCAAACAACAGAGCUUUAAAAUGUUAUUUCAAGACAAGGGGACAUUUUCACCAUAUAAAAAUAGAAGUUUGCCUCUAAAUAAAAAUGAUUUUACAAUUGC